RNAcentral lists this ribosomal RNA (1316 nucleotides) under uncultured bacterium. Its description in RNAcentral is "bacterial SSU rRNA". It matches the Rfam family "Bacterial small subunit ribosomal RNA", at positions 27 to 1316 of the family's 1533-position model. The record is from RNAcentral.
GAAUCAACGCUGGCGGCGUGCCUCAGACAUGCAAGUCGAACGCGAAAGUUCCCUUCGGGGAACAAGUAGAGUGGCGCACGGGUGAGUAACACGUAGGUAAUCUACCUUCGGAUGGGGAAUAAGCAACCGGAAACGGUUGCUAAUACCGCAUAAUGCAGCGGCACCUAAUGGUGACAGUUGUUAAAGCGGGGGAUCGCAAGACCUCGCGUCUGAAGAGGAGCCUGCGGCGGAUUAGCUAGUUGGUAGGGUAACGGCCUACCAAGGCGACGAUCCGUAGCCGGCCUGAGAGGGCGGUCGGCCACACUGACACUGACAUACGGGUCAGACUCCUACGGGAGGCAGCAGUCGGGAAUUUUGGGCAAUGGGCGAAAGCCUGACCCAGCAACGCCGCGUGAAGGAUGAAAUCCCUCGGGAUGUAAACUUCGCAAGAACGGGAAGAAUAAGACGGUGCUAACACCACCGGCGAUGACGGUACUGUUUGUAAGCUCCGGCUAACUCCGUGCCAGCAGCCGCGGUAAUACGGGGGGAGCAAGCGUUGUUCGGAUUUACUGGGCGUAAAGGGCGCGUAGACGGCCACCGCAAGUCGAUUGUGAAAUCUCCGGGCUUAACCCGGAAAGGUCAACCGAUACUGCGGGGCUAGAGUGCAGAAGGGGCAACUGGAAUUCUCGGUGUAGCGGUGAAAUGCGUAGAUAUCGAGAGGAACACCUGCGGCGAAGGCGGGUUGCUGGGCUGACACUGACGCUGAAGUGCGAAAGCUAGGGGAGCGAACGGGAUUAGAUACCCCGGUAGUCCUAGCCUUAAACGAUGAAUGCUUGGUGUCUGGGGUUUUAUAGUCCCCGGGUGCCGUCGCUAACGCUUUAAGCAUUCCGCCUGGGGAGUACGGUCGCAAGACUGAAACUCAAAGGAAUUGACGGGGACCCGCACAAGCGGUGGAGCAUGUGGUUUAAUUCGACGCAACGCGAAGAACCUUACCUGGGCUAGAAUGCCUCUGACAGCCCCAGAGAUGGGGUCUCCUGGGUAAAACCAGGCAGAGUGCAAGGUGUUGCAUGGCUGUCGUCAGCUCGUGUCGUGAGAUGUUGGGUUAUGUCCCGCAACGAGCGCAACCCUCGUCCUUAGUUGCCACCAUUCAGUUGGGCACUCUAGGGGGACUGCCGGCGUUAAGCCGGAGGAAGGUGGGGACGACGUCAAGUCAUCAUGGCCCUUAUGUCCAGGGCCACACACGUGCUACAAUGGGCGGUACAAAGGGUCGCAAACCCGCGAGGGGGAGCCAAUCCCAAAAAGCCGCUCUCAGUUCGGAUUGGAGUCUGCAACUCGAC